This 319-nucleotide long non-coding RNA is filed under the name Hordeum vulgare. RNAcentral describes it as "long non-coding RNA (HVUL_LNC021295)". The record is from RNAcentral. Lineage: Eukaryota; Viridiplantae; Streptophyta; Magnoliopsida; Poales; Poaceae.
UAGAUCUAGGCCAUAAAAAGUGUGUACGUUGGAGGGAGGAAAACGUAGAUCUAGAACAUAAAGAAAGCUUUCCCCUUACUCACCUAUCAAAAAAAAAGGAAAUUUAACCACUUAAUUUGGGUGAAUCUAUGGUGCAAAUGAGGUGAGGAGGAGCAGGCAGCCGAGACCAACAAGCUUGGUAGUGGUGGAGAGAAUGAAGUGGGGGAAAGUGAGUGUGGUAAGUGGUUGUCAAAAAUAUCUAGCUGCUCUCAGGUUAUCAAUGGUGCACCACCAAAGAAUGCGCCAUUACUAGUUUUGAAAAAAAAAACUGAAAAAAAAA